AGUGAACGCUGGCGGUAGGCCUAACACAUGCAAGUCGAACGGCAGCACAGUAAGAGCUUGCUCUUACGGGUGGCGAGUGGCGGACGGGUGAGGAAUACAUCGGAAUCUACUUUUUCGUGGGGGAUAACGUAGGGAAACUUACGCUAAUACCGCAUACGACCUACGGGUGAAAGCAGGGGAUCUUCGGACCUUGCGCGAUUGAUUGAGCCGAUGUCGGAUUAGCUAGUUGGCGGGGUAAAGGCCCACCAAGGCGACGAUCCGUAGCUGGUCUGAGAGGAUGAUCAGCCACACUGGAACUGAGACACGGCCCAGACUCCUACGGGAGGCAGCAGUGGGGAAUAUUAGACAAUGGGCGCAAGCCUGAUCCAGCCAUACCGCGUGGGUGAAGAAGGCCUUCGGGUUGUAAAGCCCUGUUGUUGGGAAAGAAAAGCAGCAGGUUAAUACCCCGCUGUUCUGACGGUACCCAAAGAAUAAGCACCGGCUAACUUCGUG
Molecule: ribosomal RNA, 492 nt
Filed under: uncultured bacterium
Lineage: Bacteria
Description: partial 16S ribosomal RNA
Rfam family: Bacterial small subunit ribosomal RNA
Source: RNAcentral